RNAcentral lists this ribosomal RNA (409 nucleotides) under uncultured bacterium. Its description in RNAcentral is "partial 16S ribosomal RNA". It matches the Rfam family "Bacterial small subunit ribosomal RNA", at positions 355 to 755 of the family's 1533-position model. The record is from RNAcentral.
UGGGGAAUAUUGCACAAUGGGCGCAAGCCUGAUGCAGCCAUGCCGCGUGUGUGAAGAAGGCCUUCGGGUUGUAAAGCACUUUCAGCGAGGAGGAAGGUGGGUGAACUUAAUACGUUCAUCAAUUGACGUUACUCGCAGAAGAAGCACCGGCUAACUCCGUGCCAGCAGCCGCGGUAAUACGGAGGGUGCAAGCGUUAAUCGGAAUUACUGGGCGUAAAGCGCACGCAGGCGGUUUGUUAAGUCAGAUGUGAAAUCCCCGGGCUCAACCUGGGAACUGCAUUUGAAACUGGCAAGCUAGAGUCUCGUAGAGGGGGGUAGAAUUCCAGGUGUAGCGGUGAAAUGCGUAGAGAUCUGGAGGAAUACCGGUGGCGAAGGCGGCCCCCUGGACGAAGACUGACGCUCAGGUGCG